UACAGAGGUGGCAAGCGUUGUUCGGAAUUACUGGGCGUAAAGGGCGCGUAGGUGGCUUGGUCAGUCCCGUGUGAAAUCCCUCGGCUCAACUGAGGAACUGCACGGGAAACUGCCUGGCUUGAGUUCGGGAGAGGGAAGCGGAAUUCCGGGUGUAGCGGCGAAAUGCGUAGAUAUCCGGAGGAACACCGGUGGCGAAGGCGGCUUCCUGGACCGACACUGACGCUGAGGCGCGAAAGCUAGGGGAGCAAACGGG
Molecule: ribosomal RNA, 253 nt
Filed under: uncultured bacterium
Lineage: Bacteria
Description: partial 16S ribosomal RNA
Rfam family: Bacterial small subunit ribosomal RNA
Source: RNAcentral